RNAcentral lists this ribosomal RNA (557 nucleotides) under Vairimorpha ceranae. RNAcentral's name for it is "SSU rRNA". It matches the Rfam family "Microsporidia small subunit ribosomal RNA", at positions 1 to 606 of the family's 1311-position model. The record is from RNAcentral. Lineage: Eukaryota; Fungi; Microsporidia; Nosematidae.
CACCAGGUUGAUUCUGCCUGACGUAGACGCUAUUCUCUAAGAUUAACCCAUGCAUGUUUUUGACAUUUGAAAAAUGGACUGCUCAGUAAUACUCACUUUAUUUUAUGUAAAUUUUUGAUUAAUUAACUACGUUAAAGUGUAGAUAAGAUGUUUACAGUAAGAGUGAGACCUAUCAGCUAGUUGUUAAGGUAAUGGCUUAACAAGGCUGUGACGGGUAACGGUAUUACUUUGUAAUAUUCCGGAGAAGGAGCCUGAGAGACGGCUACUAAGUCUAAGGAUUGCAGCAGGGGCGAAACUUGACCUAUGGAUUUUAUCUGAGGCAGUUAUGGGAAGUAAUAUUAUAUUGUUUCAUAUUUUAAAAGUAUAUGAGGUGAUUAAUUGGAGGGCAAAUCAAGUGCCAGCAGCCGCGGUAAUACUUGUUCCAAGAGUGUGUAUGAUGAUUGAUGCAGUUAAAAAGUCCGUAGUUUAUUUUUUUAAGAAGCAAUAUGAGGUGUACUGUAUAGUUGGGAGAAAGAUGAAAUGUGACGACCCUGACUGGACGAACAGAAGCGAAAGCU